AUGAUAGUUGAGUAUGUGGACUUGCUGAAAAGCUCUUAUAUUGACUCUUUCCGAUGUUAUGAUAAAUUAUUAUUACUUGAGCAUAAGAAAUCAUAUGACAAUAUAUAUACAUAUAUAUAUAUACUGAUGUUAUAA
RNAcentral lists this ribosomal RNA (135 nucleotides) under Triticum aestivum (bread wheat). Its description in RNAcentral is "partial small subunit ribosomal RNA". The record is from RNAcentral. Lineage: Eukaryota; Viridiplantae; Streptophyta; Magnoliopsida; Poales; Poaceae.